GAUGAACGCUGGCGGCGUGCUUAACACAUGCAAGUCGAACGAGAAGUGGAGACGGAAACCUUCGGGCGGAAGACUUUAUUUCGAGUGGCGGACGGGUGAGUAACGCGUGGGUAACCUGCCUCAUACAGGGGGAUAACAGUUGGAAACGACUGAUAAUACCGCAUAAGACCACAGCACCGCAUGGUGCGGGGGUAAAAACUCCGGUGGUAUGAGAUGGACCCGCGUUGGAUUAGCCAGUUGGCGGGGUAACGGCCCACCAAAGCGACGAUCGAUAGCCGAUCUGAGAGGAUGACCGGCCACAUUGGGACUGAGACACGGCCCAAACUCCUACGGGAGGCAGCAGUGGGGAAUAUUGCACAAUGGGGGAAACCCUGAUGCAGCGACGCCGCGUGAGUGAAGAAGUAUUUCGGUAUGUAAAGCUCUAUCAGCAGGGAAGAAAAUGACGGUACCUGAGUAAGAAGCCCCGGCUAACUACGUG
Molecule: ribosomal RNA, 478 nt
Filed under: uncultured bacterium
Lineage: Bacteria
Description: partial 16S ribosomal RNA
Rfam family: Bacterial small subunit ribosomal RNA
Source: RNAcentral